This 1366-nucleotide long non-coding RNA is filed under the name Mytilus galloprovincialis (Mediterranean mussel). The record is from RNAcentral. Lineage: Eukaryota; Metazoa; Mollusca; Bivalvia; Mytilida; Mytilidae.
CUGUGAUCAUUUGCAUGUAGCAGUGCAACGCGGAUGCAUUGCAAGUCAUGUUAAAAAAAAACACUUUAUAAAUGUCAUGCGUCCGAAACGCUCUUCUGAUCUUUUCAUAAGAAACGCUCAAAGACGAAUAUUUGAAAGCCAAUGAUGUUUAGGAACCAACACAUUUACAGAGCUAACUAUAUAGAUUGAACAAGAAGAAACUUACUUAUAAUGCUGACAUAUAAAAAACUAUCAAUGCAUCUUUAUGAGCAUAACCUGAUAUCAUCAACAUGCAAUUGGAUCCCACACACAUUGAACGAUUUUCAAAUGUCGGAACAUACCAAAAUUUAAACAUGCCCAUCAGGUCAUGCUGGUCUAGUAAUUUUAUGGCAACGUUUCAUCAAAGUAUAUUCACGAAUUUUCAUUUCAACUUUUUUUCAACACAUUUUGGACAUCGUGCUUUUGACUGCCCCCCUUUUUUCAUAUACAGGUCACUUUCAUACGGUCUAAUCAUAUUAUUAAACUAUUAUUGUACACUUAAAACAAACCAACAGUUUAUUAAAAUAUUAUAAUGGAAACUACGUUUUGCAAAAUAGGAAAACAUUUAAAACUUUCUUGGUCAAACCAAAUGUAUGGGAAACCGUUAAAAGAAAAACACCUGAUCAAUCGCUUUAAAAGGGUGUGAUUACCAUUCUCAGCAUGUAAUGUUUGGCUACUAUGUCCUUAGAUACUAGAUAUCUUUUUUUCAAAUGCAUUUACGUUCAGGUCUGAUUUCUUACGUAAGAAUGUACGAACAUUUACAUGACUCAUAAAACACACAUAGUACAGCAGCAAAUAAUUUGAUUAUUUUUAUCUCUUGUAUUCAAGUACGUGUUGAAAUUAAAGUACAAAAGAUACCCAUUCCACCCUUUAAAAUUUUAGUCUGAAUUCGUUUUAGUUUUCUGAUUUAUUCGUUCAUAACCGAAAUUUAUUUAAAAGUUACCUUGCUUAGAAAACUGAUUCAACGAACACCAAGUACAAAAUAAUUAGACGAGAAGGCAUGUGAAAAAUCGUUGAUUUCUCUGAAUCAAUUCCCAUGCACUGUUUACCCCUUCCAAUACUGAUGCAUGUAAGAGUUUGUCAAAAUUCUGUAUUUUUGGCCAGAAGAUACAACAAAAAGUGUGAUAAAUGGGUGUAUGUGAUAUCUGACAUUAACCACUGUGCUAAGUAAUCCAUGAAGAUGGAAUAAACAUUAUAAACUAUUACGUGAUUACAGCACGUCUGCUUAAUGCAGCAUCCAUGUUUGCAAAAAAAUAUAUCUAGAAAGAUUAGUGUCAUUUCAUGUCAUUCAAAUCUAAAAAUACGAUACAGAAUAUAUGGAUAAAUAAUUUGAAAUUGAAACUUUGAG